RNAcentral lists this transfer RNA (77 nucleotides) under Planctomycetota bacterium. RNAcentral describes it as "Planctomycetes bacterium (freshwater metagenome) tRNA-Gly". It matches the Rfam family "tRNA". Rfam says of the family: Transfer RNA (tRNA) molecules are approximately 80 nucleotides in length. Their secondary structure includes four short double-helical elements and three loops (D, anti-codon, and T loops). The record is from RNAcentral. Lineage: Bacteria; Pseudomonadati; Planctomycetota.
GUAGGCAACGAUUUCGGCCAAUGACCUUCGGCUUCCCAAGCCGAGGGUCGUGGGUUCAAAUCCCAUCGCCCGCUCCA